RNAcentral lists this transfer RNA (69 nucleotides) under Aethomys chrysophilus (red rock rat). Its description in RNAcentral is "tRNA-Gly". It matches the Rfam family "tRNA". Rfam says of the family: Transfer RNA (tRNA) molecules are approximately 80 nucleotides in length. The record is from RNAcentral. Lineage: Eukaryota; Metazoa; Chordata; Mammalia; Rodentia; Muridae.
ACUCCCUUAGUAUAAUUAAUACUACUGACUUCCAAUCAGUUGAUUCUGAUAAAAUCUCAGAAAGGAGUA